GACGUAGGGCGCAAGCGUUAUCCGGAAUUAUUGGGCGUAAAAAGCUCGUAGGCGGUUUGUCGCGUCUGCCGUGAAAGUCCGGGGCUCAACUCCGGAUCUGCGGUGGGUACGGGCAGACUAGAGUGCAGUAGGGGAGACUGGAAUUCCUGGUGUAGCGGUGAAAUGCGCAGAUAUCAGGAGGAACACCGAUGGCGAAGGCAGGUCUCUGGGCUGUAACUGACGCUGAGGAGCGAAAGCAUGGGGAGCGAACAGG
Molecule: ribosomal RNA, 253 nt
Filed under: uncultured bacterium
Lineage: Bacteria
Description: partial 16S ribosomal RNA
Rfam family: Bacterial small subunit ribosomal RNA
Source: RNAcentral